This 62-nucleotide transfer RNA is filed under the name Platypodinae sp. BMNH 1274715. RNAcentral describes it as "tRNA-His". Lineage: Eukaryota; Metazoa; Arthropoda; Insecta; Coleoptera; Curculionidae. The record is from RNAcentral.
UAAUAAAUUGUUAUUAUUAAAAUUUUAGGUAAAAGUUAUUAAGAACUUUUUUUAUAUAAAUA